RNAcentral lists this ribosomal RNA (695 nucleotides) under Bacillus sp. HQ-2-9. RNAcentral's name for it is "bacterial SSU rRNA". It matches the Rfam family "Bacterial small subunit ribosomal RNA", at positions 53 to 742 of the family's 1533-position model. Lineage: Bacteria; Bacillati; Bacillota; Bacilli; Caryophanales; Bacillaceae. The record is from RNAcentral.
ACAUGCAGUCGAGCGAAUUUGAUGGAGAGCUGUGCUCCCUGAAAUUAGCGGCGGACGGGUGAGUAACACGUGGGCAACCUACCUGUAAGCCUGGGAUAACUUCGGGAAACCGGAGCUAAUACCGGAUAAUUUCUUUCUUCACGUGGAGAGAGGUUGAAAGACGGCUUUGCUGUCACUUACGAAUGGGCCCCCGGCGCAUUACCUAGUUGGUGAGGUAACGGCUCACCAAGGCCACAAUGCGUACCCAACCUGAAAGGGUGAUCGGCCACCCUGGAACUGAAACACGGCCCAAACUCCUACGGGAGGCACCAGUAGGGAAUCUUCCCCAAGGGACAAAAGUCUGACGGACCAACCCCCCGUGAGUGAAGAAGGUCUUCGGAUCGUAAAACUCUGUUAUCAGGGAAAAACAAGUACCGGAGUUACUGCCGGUACCUUGACGGUACCUGACCAGAAACCACGGCUAACUACGUGCCACAGCCGCGGUAAUACGUAGGUGGCAAGCGUUGUCCGGAAUAUUGGGCGUAAAGCGCGCGCAGGCGGUUCUUUAGUCUGAUGUGAAUCUUGCGGCUCAACCGUGAGCGGCAUUGGAACUGGAGACUUGAGUGCAGAAGAGAAGAGCGGAAUUCCCGUGUAGCGGUGAAAUGCGUAGAGAUGUGGAGGAACACCAGUGGCGAAGGCGCUCUCUGGCUGUACUG